UGAGUGGCGGACGGGUGAGUAACGCGUGGGCAACCUGCCCUGUACAGGGGGACAACACUUAGAAAUAGGUGCUAAUACCGCAUAACGGGGGGAGCCGCAUGGCACCCCCUGAAAACUCCGGUGGUACAGGAUGGGCCCGCGUCUGAUUAGGUAGUUGGUGAGGUAACGGCUCACCAAGCCGACGAUCAGUAGCCGACCUGAGAGGGUGACCGGCCACAUUGGGACUGAGACACGGCCCAGACUCCUACGGAAGGCAGCAG
Molecule: ribosomal RNA, 260 nt
Filed under: uncultured bacterium
Lineage: Bacteria
Description: partial 16S ribosomal RNA
Rfam family: Bacterial small subunit ribosomal RNA
Source: RNAcentral